CCAUAAAUUUAUAAUAUAAUAUUAAAAAAUAUCCUAAUUACUUUUAAGAUUUAAAUAUAUUUUAACUUAACAAUAUAUUAAUUCUAAAUAGGGAAAAUCAGAUAAAUUAAAUUUUCUAAUUAAAUUAAAGUGCCAGCAAUUGCGGUUACUCUUAAAGUCAAAUUAUUUUUUCUUACAUUAUAAUUCUAAUAAUACAAGAUAUUAAACAUUUUAAGUAAAAUUUUAUGUUAAAUUUUAUUCCAUACAAACCUAAUUAAAAUUUAGAAAAUAAAAAAGGAUUAGAUACCCUUUUAUUUCUAUUAAAAAUAGGUAGUAUUUUUAAUAAAAACCUUUAUAUUAUGGCGGCAUCUCAUUUUAUUAGAGGAAUAUGUUUAUUAAUCGAUACCACACGAUUAUUUUUACUUUAAUCAAUAUUUUAUAUACCUCCGUUCUGAAUAAAUCUAAAUAUUUUAUUCUAAAUAAAAUUCUAAAAAUUUAGGUAAAGGUGUAAACUAUAUUUUAGAUAAAAUGUAUUACAUUAAAAAAAAUUUAAGGAUUUUUUUAAACAUAUUUUAAGGAAAAAGGAUUUAAAAGUAUUACUUUAUUAAUAUUUAAAUUUGAAUCAAAAAAUAUAUGUGCACAUAUCGCCCGUCACCCUCAUCUUAAGAUAAGGUAAGUCGUAACAUAGUUAAUGUUCUAGAAAGAGCAUUUU
RNAcentral lists this non-coding RNA (691 nucleotides) under Tetragnatha cf. tincochacae DDC-2018. Lineage: Eukaryota; Metazoa; Arthropoda; Arachnida; Araneae; Tetragnathidae. The record is from RNAcentral.